This 451-nucleotide ribosomal RNA is filed under the name Cotesia sp. 2 SY-2020. Its description in RNAcentral is "partial large subunit ribosomal RNA". Lineage: Eukaryota; Metazoa; Arthropoda; Insecta; Hymenoptera; Braconidae. The record is from RNAcentral.
AAGAGUACGUGAAACCGUUCAGGGGUAAACCUGUGAAACCCAAAAGAUCGAAUGAGGAGAUUCAUCGUCAGCUUAUUCAGUAUUAAUGCAGGCUAUGAUGUGAUAAUAGAAUCCUUGUGGUCACUAAAUUAUACUUGCUUGUAUUAUUUUUGCUGGGUAUGUCGGCGUGCACUUCUCCUCUAGUAGAACGUCGCAACCCGUUGGAUGUUUAUCUAUGGCUUAAAUGGUAGCCUUUGAUAUUUUUUAUAUUAAAGACCUUUAAUGUCCUGAUAAACUGUUUGACGGUAUACAUAUGGUAUUGAGCCGCAAUUAUUUGCGUUAGACUUACCGCAAGUAUGACUUUAUUCUAGUAGAGCGGAUCUAAUGCCGUCGCUGGACAAAGUCUGCUGUUAGCUGUGUAAUGUCUUUAACUGGCUUAUUUACCGGUUAGCGAUGCUACUGCUUUGGGUAC